This 253-nucleotide ribosomal RNA is filed under the name uncultured bacterium. RNAcentral's name for it is "partial 16S ribosomal RNA". It matches the Rfam family "Bacterial small subunit ribosomal RNA", at positions 524 to 776 of the family's 1533-position model. The record is from RNAcentral.
UACAGAGGUCCCAAGCGUUGUUCGGAUUCACUGGGCGUAAAGGGUGCGUAGGCGGUCGGGUAAGUCUGACGUGAAAUCUCCGGGCCUAACCCGGAAACUGCGUCGGAUACUAUCCGGCUAGAGGAUUGGAUGGGAGACUGGAAUACUUGGUGUAGCAGUGAAAUGCGUAGAUAUCAAGUGGAACACCAGUGGCGAAGGCGAGUCUCUGGACAAUACCUGACGCUGAGGCACGAAAGCCAGGGGAGCAAACGGG